GUAGGUGGCAAGCGUUGUCCGGAUUUAUUGGGUUUAAAGGGUGCGUAGGCGGCUCUGUAAGUCAGUGCUGAAAUAUCCCGGCUUAACUGGGAGGGUGGCAUUGAUACUGUGGAGCUAGAGUACAGAUGAGGUAGGCGGAAUUGACGGUGUAGCGGUGAAAUGCUUAGAUAUCGUCAAGAACACCUAUAGCGAAGGCAGCUUACUAGGCUGUAACUGACGCUGAGGCACGAAAGUGUGGGGAUCAAACAGGAUUAGAUACCCUGGUAGUCCACACUGUAAACGUUGAUUACUCGCUGUGUGCGAUAUACAGUACGCGGCCAAGCGAAAGCGCUAAGUAAUCCACCUGGGGAGUACGCCGGCAACGGUGAA
Molecule: ribosomal RNA, 369 nt
Filed under: uncultured bacterium
Lineage: Bacteria
Description: bacterial SSU rRNA
Rfam family: Bacterial small subunit ribosomal RNA
Source: RNAcentral